UGCAGUCGANCGGUCCUGGGGAGCAAUCUUCAGGAGAGUGGCAGAAGGGUUAGUAACGCGUGGGUAACCUGCCCUCGAGUUGGGAAUAACCUCCCGAAAGGGGGGCUAAUACCGGAUAACAUUCUCUCCAUGCAUGUGGAGAGAUUCAAAGGUGGCGCCGAAAGGGCUAUCGCUUGAGGAUGGACCCGCGUCCUAUCAGCUAGUUGGUGAGGUAACGGCUCACCAAGGCAUUUGACGGGUAGCUGGUCUUAGAGGAUGGUCAGCAACACUGGGACUGAGACACUGCCCAGACUCCUACGGGAGGCUGCAGUCGAGAAUCUUUACCAAUGCUCGAAAGAGUGAGUAUGCGACGCCGCGUGCAGGACGACGGCCUUCGGGUUGUAAACUGCUUUCAGGGGUGAGGAAACCUUACGUGCUAAUAUCACGUAAGCUGACGUUAACCCCAGAAGAAGCCACGGCUAACUCUGUGCCAGCAGCCGCGGUAAUACAGAGGUGGCAAGCGUUGUUCGGAUUUAUUGGGUGUAAAGGGCAGGUAGGCGGCUGUGCAAGUCUGAUGUGAAAUCCCAGGGCUCAACCCUGGAAUCGCAUUGGAAACUGCGCAGCUCGAGUCACGGAGAGGUGAGAGGAAUUCUUGGUGUAAGGGUGAAAUCUGUAGAUAUCAAGAGGAAAACCUAUGGCGAANGCAUCUCACUGGCUGAUGACUGACGCUGAANUGCGAAAGCUGGGGUAGCAAACAGGAUUAGAUACCCNGGUAGUCCCAGCUGUAAACNAUGUAGANUNNNUGUCGGGAGGGNCGAUCCUUUNGGUGCCNNANUUNACACAUUAANUCUACCACCUGGGGNNUACGGNNGCAA
RNAcentral lists this ribosomal RNA (854 nucleotides) under uncultured bacterium. RNAcentral's name for it is "partial 16S small subunit ribosomal RNA". It matches the Rfam family "Bacterial small subunit ribosomal RNA", at positions 56 to 891 of the family's 1533-position model. The record is from RNAcentral.